RNAcentral lists this ribosomal RNA (301 nucleotides) under uncultured bacterium. RNAcentral describes it as "partial 16S ribosomal RNA". It matches the Rfam family "Bacterial small subunit ribosomal RNA", at positions 509 to 807 of the family's 1533-position model. The record is from RNAcentral.
CAGUAGCCGCGGGAAUACAGAGGGUGCGAGCGUUAAUCGGAUUUACUGGGCGUAAAGCGUGCGUAGGCGGCUUUUUAAGUCGGAUGUGAAAUCCCUGAGCUUAACUUAGGAAUUGCAUUCGAUACUGGGAAGCUAGAGUAUGGGAGAGGAUGGUAGAGUUCCAGGUGUAGCGGUGAAAUGCGUAGAGAUCUGGAGGAAUACCGAUGGCGAAGGCAGCCAUCUGGCCUAAUACUGACGCUGAGGUACGAAAGCAUGGGGAGCAAACAGGAUUAGAUACCCCGGUAGUCCCUGUCUCUUAUAC